GGGGUUGUGGCUCAGUGGUAGAGCACUUGCCUAGCAUGCAUGAGACAGUAGGUUUGAUCCCCAGCACCA
This is a non-coding RNA of Ictidomys tridecemlineatus (thirteen-lined ground squirrel), 69 nucleotides long. The record is from Rfam. NCBI's taxonomy places the organism in Eukaryota, Metazoa, Chordata, Mammalia, Rodentia, Sciuridae.